RNAcentral lists this ribosomal RNA (117 nucleotides) under Sinocyclocheilus anshuiensis. The record is from RNAcentral. Lineage: Eukaryota; Metazoa; Chordata; Actinopteri; Cypriniformes; Cyprinidae.
UGUAGCAGCCAUAUCACCCUGUAGCCCAAGACUGGUUGCCCACUGAAGCUAAGCAAGGCUGAGCCUGGUCAGUACCUGGAUGGGAGACCUCCUGAGAAAACUAGGUUGCUGCUGGAA